This 425-nucleotide ribosomal RNA is filed under the name uncultured bacterium. RNAcentral's name for it is "partial 16S ribosomal RNA". It matches the Rfam family "Bacterial small subunit ribosomal RNA", at positions 354 to 796 of the family's 1533-position model. The record is from RNAcentral.
GUGGGGAAUCUUAGACAAUGGGGGAAACCCUGAUCUAGCCAUGCCGCGUGAGCGAUGAAGGCCUUAGGGUUGUAAAGCUCUUUCACCGGAGAAGAUAAUGACGGUAUCCGGAGAAGAAGCCCCGGCUAACUUCGUGCCAGCAGCCGCGGUAAUACGAAGGGGGCUAGCGUUGUUCGGAAUUACUGGGCGUAAAGCGCACGUAGGCGGACAUUUAAGUCAGGGGUGAAAUCCCGGGGCUCAACCCCGGAACUGCCUUUGAUACUGGGUGUCUGGAGUAUGGAAGAGGUAAGUGGAAUUCCGAGUGUAGAGGUGAAAUUCGUAGAUAUUCGGAGGAACACCAGUGGCGAAGGCGGCGUACUGGUCCAUUACUGACGCUGAGGUGCGAAAGCGUGGGGAGCAAACAGGAUUAGAUACCCGUGUAGUCC